GGGAGUGGCCUAGGUGGAGAGGGGUGUGGCCUGGGUGGAGAAGGUGUGGCUCAGAAAGGGGUGUGGCCUGUGCUGAAAGGGGUGUGGUUGAGGGAGGGGAUGGCCUAGGUAGAGAGGGGUGUGGCCAGAGCAGAGAGGGGUGUGGCCUGGGCGUUGAGGAUGUGGCUGAGAAAGGGGUGUGGCCUUGUCUGAAAGGAGUGUGGUUGAGGGAGAGGAGUGGCCUAUGUGGAGAGGG
Podarcis raffonei (Aeolian wall lizard) is the source of this 235-nucleotide long non-coding RNA. RefSeq lists it as uncharacterized. The record is from RefSeq and is a predicted model, not a curated record. NCBI's taxonomy places the organism in Eukaryota, Metazoa, Chordata, Lepidosauria, Squamata, Lacertidae. The transcript has 4 exons.